This 854-nucleotide ribosomal RNA is filed under the name uncultured organism. RNAcentral describes it as "bacterial SSU rRNA". It matches the Rfam family "Bacterial small subunit ribosomal RNA", at positions 25 to 879 of the family's 1533-position model. The record is from RNAcentral.
CAGGAUGAAUGCUAGCGGGAGGCUUAACACAUGCAAGUCGAGGGGUAACAUGGUUUUCGGACUGAUGACGACCGGCGCACGGGUGCGUAACGCGUAUGCAACCUUCCUUAUGCAGGAGGAUAGCCCGUGGAAACGUGGAUUAAUACUCCAUACUAUUAGUAUUAUGCAUGUAAUAUUAAUAAAAACUACGGUGGCAUAAGAUGGGCAUGCGUCUGAUUAGUUAGUUGGUGAGGUAACGGCUCACCAAUGCGACGAUCAGUAGGGGUUCUGAGAGGAUUAUCCCCCACACUGGUACUGAGACACGGACCAGACUCCUACGGGAGGCAGCAGUGAGGAAUAUUGGUCAAUGGGUGAGAGCCUGAACCAGCCAUCCCGCGUGCAGGAUGACGGCCCUAUGGGUCGUAAACUGCUUUUCUACGCCAAGAAAGGUCCCUACGUGUAGGGAAUUGACGGUAGCGUAGGAAUAAGCAUCGGCUAACUCCGUGCCAGCAGCCGCGGUAAUACGGAGGAUGCAAGCGUUAUCCGGAUUUAUUGGGUUUAAAGGGUGCGCAGGCGGGUUUUUAAGUCAGUGGUGAAAUACUGCCGCUUAACGGUAGAAUUGCCAUUGAAACUAGGAAUCUUGAGUGUGGUUGAGGUAGGCGGAAUGUGUAGUGUAGCGGUGAAAUGCAUAGAUAUUACACAGAACACCGAUUGCGGAGGCAGCUUACUAAGCCAUAACUGACGCUGAGGCACGAAAGCGUGGGGAGCGAACAGGAUUAGAUACCCUGGUAGUCCACGCUGUAAACGAUGUUCACUCGCUGUUUGCGAUACACAGUAAGCGGCUGAGCGAAAGCAUUAAGUGAACCACCUGGGGA